AUUGAACGCUGGCGGCAUGCUUUACACAUGCAAGUCGAACGGUAACAGGCCGCAAGGUGCUGACGAGUGGCGAACGGGUGAGUAAUGCAUCGGAACGUGCCCAGUCGUGGGGGAUAACUACUCGAAAGAGUAGCUAAUACCGCAUACGAUCUAUGGAUGAAAGCGGGGGACCGUAAGGCCUCGCGCGAUUGGAGCGGCCGAUGUCAGAUUAGGUAGUUGGUGGGGUAAAGGCUCACCAAGCCAACGAUCUGUAGCUGGUCUGAGAGGACGACCAGCCACACUGGGACUGAGACACGGCCCAGACUCCUACGGGAGGCAGCAGUGGGGAAUUUUGGACAAUGGGCGCAAGCCUGAUCCAGCAAUGCCGCGUGCAGGAAGAAGGCCUUCGGGUUGUAAAGUGCUUUUGUACGGAACGAAACGGCUCUGGUUAAUACCCGGGGCUAAUGACGGUACCGUAAGAAUAAGCACCGGCUAACUACGUG
This 482-nucleotide ribosomal RNA is filed under the name uncultured bacterium. RNAcentral describes it as "partial 16S ribosomal RNA". It matches the Rfam family "Bacterial small subunit ribosomal RNA", at positions 30 to 507 of the family's 1533-position model. The record is from RNAcentral.